RNAcentral lists this ribosomal RNA (459 nucleotides) under uncultured bacterium. Its description in RNAcentral is "partial 16S ribosomal RNA". It matches the Rfam family "Bacterial small subunit ribosomal RNA", at positions 338 to 795 of the family's 1533-position model. The record is from RNAcentral.
CCUACGGGUGGCAGCAGUGAGGAAUAUUGGUCAAUGGGCGGGAGCCUGAACCAGCCAAGCCGCGUGAGGGAAGAAGGUACAGCGUAUCGUAAACCUCUUUUGUCAGGGAACAAAGGCGGGGACUAGUCCCCGGAUGGGGGUACCUGAAGAAAAAGCAUCGGCUAACUGCGUGCCAACCGCCGCGGUAAUACGGAGGAUUCCAGCGUUAUCCGGAUUUAUUGGGUUUAAAGGGGGCGCAGGCGGCCUGUUAAGUCAGCGGUAAAAGCCCGGGGCGCAACCCCGGCGAGCCGUUGAAACUGGCGGGCUUGAGUUGGAGAGAAGUACGCGGAAUGCGCAGUGUAGCGGUGAAAUGCUUAGAUAUUGCGCAGAACUCCGAUUGCGAAGGCAGCAUACCGGCGGCGAACUGACGCGGAGGCACGAAAGCGUGGGUAUCGAACAGGAUUAGAUACCCUAGUAGUC